This 253-nucleotide ribosomal RNA is filed under the name uncultured prokaryote. RNAcentral describes it as "partial 16S ribosomal RNA". It matches the Rfam family "Bacterial small subunit ribosomal RNA", at positions 524 to 776 of the family's 1533-position model. The record is from RNAcentral.
UACGAGGGGGGCAAGCGUUGUUCGGAAUUAUUGGGCGUAAAGGGGGCGUAGGCUGUGCGGUAAGUCACCUGUGAAAACUCUGGGCUCAACCCAGAGCCUGCAGGCGAAACUGCCGUGCUGGAGUAUGGGAGAGGUGCGUGGAAUUCCUGGUGUAGCGGUGAAAUGCGCAGAUAUCAGGAAGAACACCCGUGGCGAAGGCGGCUCUCUGGAUCGCAACUGACGCUGAGACGCGAAAGCGUGGGGAGCAAACAGG